UACGGGGGGGGCAAGCGUUGUUCGGAAUUACUGGGCGUAAAGGGCUCGUAGGUGGCCAACUAAGUCAGACGUGAAAUCCCCAGGCUCAACUUGGGAACUGCGUCUGAUACUGGAUGGCUUGAAUCCGGGAGAGGGAUGCAGAAUUCCAGGUGUAGCGGUGAAAUGCGUAGAUAUCUGGAGGAAUACCGGUGGCGAAGGCGGCAUCCUGGACCGGCAUUGACGCUGAGGAGCGAAAGCCAGGGGAGCAAACGGG
Molecule: ribosomal RNA, 253 nt
Filed under: uncultured bacterium
Lineage: Bacteria
Description: partial 16S ribosomal RNA
Rfam family: Bacterial small subunit ribosomal RNA
Source: RNAcentral